AGCAGCCGCGGUAAUUCCAGCUCCAAUAGCGUAUAUUAAAGUUGUUGCAGUUAAAAAAGCUCGUAGUUGAAUUUCGGGAUUGACGUGAUGGUCGUGCCUUAAGGGGUAUGAACUGUCGCAGUUGAUUUCUCACCUUCUGGAGAAGCAUGAUGUCCUUAAUUGGGUGUCAUGUGGAACCAGGACCUUUACCUUUGAAAAAAAUUAGAGUGUUUAAAGCAGGCAUUUUUGCUCGAAUACAUUAGCAUGGAAUAAUAGAAUAGGACGGCAUGGUUCUAUUUUGUUGGUUUCUAGGAUCACCGUAAUGAUUAAUAGGGAUAGUUGGGGGCAUUAGUAUUCAAUUGUCAGAGGUGAAAUUCUUGGAUUUAUUGAAGACUAACUACUGGGAAAGCAUUUGCCAAGGAUGUUUUCAUUAAUCAAGAACGAAAGUUAGGGGAUCGAAGACGAUCAGAUACCGUCGUAGUCUUAACCAUAAACUAUGCCGACUAGGGAUCGGAUGAUGUUAAUUUUUUUCAAUGACUCA
Molecule: ribosomal RNA, 520 nt
Filed under: uncultured Entrophospora
Lineage: Eukaryota; Fungi; Glomeromycota; Glomeromycetes; Entrophosporales; Entrophosporaceae
Description: SSU rRNA
Rfam family: Eukaryotic small subunit ribosomal RNA
Source: RNAcentral